This 187-nucleotide ribosomal RNA is filed under the name uncultured bacterium. Its description in RNAcentral is "partial 16S ribosomal RNA". It matches the Rfam family "Bacterial small subunit ribosomal RNA", at positions 340 to 524 of the family's 1533-position model. The record is from RNAcentral.
UACGGGAGGCAGCAGUGAGGAAUAUUGGACAAUGGAGGCAACUCUGAUCCAGCCAUGCCGCGUGCAGGAAGACGGCCCUAUGGGUUGUAAACUGCUUUUAUAUAGGAAGAAACCUUUCCACGUGUGGAAAGCUGACGGUACUAUAAGAAUAAGCACCGGCUAACUCCGUGCCAGCAGCCGCGGUAAU